AAAAGUCGUAACAAGGUCUCCGUUGGUGAACCAGCGGAGGGAUCAUUACCGAGUUUACAACUCCCAAACCCCUGUGAACAUACCACUUGUUGCCUCGGCGGAUCAGCCCGCUCCCGGUAAAACGGGACGGCCCGCCAGAGGACCCCUAAACUCUGUUUCUAUAUGUAACUUCUGAGUAAAACCAUAAAUAAAUCAAAACUUUCAACAACGGAUCUCUUGGUUCUGGCAUCGAUGAAGAACGCAGCAAAAUGCGAUAAGUAAUGUGAAUUGCAGAAUUCAGUGAAUCAUCGAAUCUUUGAACGCACAUUGCGCCCGCCAGUAUUCUGGCGGGCAUGCCUGUUCGAGCGUCAUUUCAACCCUCAAGCACAGCUUGGUGUUGGGACUCGCGUUAAUUCGCGUUCCCCAAAUUGAUUGGNGGUCACGUCGAGCUUCCAUAGCGUAGUAGUAAAACCCUCGUUACUGGUAAUCGUCGCGGCCACGCCGUUAAACCCCAACUUCUGAAUGUUGACCUCGGAUCAGGUAGGAAUACCCGCUGAACUUAAGCAUAUCAAUAA
Molecule: ribosomal RNA, 554 nt
Filed under: Fusarium oxysporum
Lineage: Eukaryota; Fungi; Ascomycota; Sordariomycetes; Hypocreales; Nectriaceae
Description: eukaryotic LSU rRNA
Rfam family: 5.8S ribosomal RNA (bases 197-350)
Source: RNAcentral